GAAUGGGAAGCACGCGUCCCUCAGGUUUUGUCCCUCACGUUUUGUCCCUCACGUUUAAUUUGUCAUGCUUAGCGAUGAAGAGCCGGCAUUGUUGGACGACUUCAUGUGCUUGCAGUGCUUUUGCAUUGUGGGGCGUGGUGCGUUCGGUGAUGUUGGGUCUUGCUGACGCGUUGGCGUGUGAGAUGUGCUUUGGAUAUUUGUGUUUGCCGGCUCUGUGCUUUUGCACUGAACGGUUUGCAUGUAAUCCUUGUCAGUUUUCGUUGUACGCCCUUGGUGUUCGUAUGUGGUUCCUGUUUUGCUUACCUUUAAAACGGUAUCCGUGUGGCUUGUUAGGCUUGAUCCAUCCCCUGCCGUUGCACGGUCUUGUGGUGGCUUUUGUAGUUUUACGUAUGAGCCCUUUCUAGAUGUACUCGUAUGUCUGGGGAGGUGCCCAUGUAUUGACUGAAUCUUCGGACGCGGUGCUUGAGAUGAACUUUUGUGUUUUUCACAUUGUC
Molecule: long non-coding RNA, 494 nt
Organism: Cicer arietinum (chickpea)
Lineage: Eukaryota; Viridiplantae; Streptophyta; Magnoliopsida; Fabales; Fabaceae
Source: RefSeq, a predicted model, not a curated record